GAUGAACGCUGGCGGCGUGCCUAAUACAUGCAAGUCGAGCGAACAGACGAGGAGCUUGCUCCUCUGACGUUAGCGGCGGACGGGUGAGUAACACGUGGAUAACCUACCUAUAAGACUGGGAUAACUUCGGGAAACCGGAGCUAAUACCGGAUAAUAUAUUGAACCGCGUGGUUCAAUAGUGAAAGACGGUUUUGCUGUCACUUAUAGAUGGAUCCGCGCCGCAUUAGCUAGUUGGUAAGGUAACGGCUUACCAAGGCAACGAUGCGUAGCCGACCUGAGAAGGUGAUCGGCCACACUGGAACUGAGACACGGUCCAGACUCCUACGGGAGGCAGCAGUAGGGAAUCUUCCGCAAUGGGCGAAAGCCUGACGGAGCAACGCCGCGUGAGUGAUGAAGGUCUUCGGAUCGUAAAACUCUGUUAUUAGGGAAGAACAAAUGUGUAAGUAACUAUGCACGUCUUGACGGUACCUAAUCAGAAAGCCACGGCUAACUACGUG
Molecule: ribosomal RNA, 497 nt
Filed under: uncultured bacterium
Lineage: Bacteria
Description: partial 16S ribosomal RNA
Rfam family: Bacterial small subunit ribosomal RNA
Source: RNAcentral